This is a non-coding RNA of Peromyscus maniculatus bairdii (prairie deer mouse), 597 nucleotides long. NCBI's taxonomy places the organism in Eukaryota, Metazoa, Chordata, Mammalia, Rodentia, Cricetidae. The record is from RefSeq and is a predicted model, not a curated record.
UGUGUCGAGUUGACAGAAAACUAAAGAGCACAUCCAUCAUAGGGAUGCUGGGGACCACACUCAGGUCCUCUGCGAUAACCAUAUCUCCAGCCCCAGAACAGAAGCUUUUAAUGUUAACAAGACCUGGCCAACCAUCUCCCUGGUGGAAGCAAUGCCUUCUGGGCUGUGUCUAAAAAGCCAUCACCGCUCCAAAGCCACUUGAGACUUCUACUGUGUGACAGUCUAGGCAGAGAGUUCCUGACAGUGGGCACACAGGAGAAGGAUUGCGUGAGUGUGCACAGGAACACAGUGGUGUCAUGUAGGUCCUGCCUGGACAGUACCAUCAGCACAGAGCCUCACUGACCACAUCUACAAAGACCCCUCUCUAAGAGGGAGCCCAUAGUGGAUCUUUGCGAAUGUCCAUAGGUAUGAAGAGUCCGUGCCUUUCAGGCCACAUGGCUGAGCAGAGAGGCACUCUCCUCUCCUCACCGGCAUGCGCAGAGAGAGCUGGAGAGGGCUGCUGAGGUCCGAGUGGCUAGUACCCACAGACAUCAGAGAUAGGGGAAUAGAGACCAGCCACCCAUUGCUCACUGUGAACCUAAGAUCCCUUUGAGCCUC